GAUGAAGAACGCAGCGAAAUGCGAUACUUGGUGUGAAUUGCAGAAUCCCGUGAACCAUCGAGUCUUUGAACGCAAGUUGCGCCCGAAGCCAUCAGGUUGAGGGCACGUCUGCCUGGGCGUCACAUAUCGUUGCUCGAUGCCUAUCGCAUUGCGAUAGGACUUAGGGCGAAUGAUGGCUUCCCGUGAGCGUUGUUGCCUCGCGGUUGGUUGAAAAUCGAGUCCUUGGUAGGGUGUGCCAUGAUAGAUGGUGGUCGAGUUGCACGAGACCGAUCAUGUGCAUGCUCCCCAAAAUAUGGCCUCUGUGACCCACACACGUCUUUUGACGCUCAUGACGAGACCUCAGGUCAGGCGGGGCUACCCGCUGAAUUUAAGCAUAUCAAUAAGCGGAGGA
RNAcentral lists this unclassified non-coding RNA (391 nucleotides) under soil metagenome. Its description in RNAcentral is "partial contains 5.8S ribosomal RNA, internal transcribed spacer 2, and large subunit ribosomal RNA". The stretch from base 1 to 122 matches the Rfam family "5.8S ribosomal RNA", at positions 35 to 154 of the family's 154-position model. The record is from RNAcentral.